ACCGCUGGGCGACCCAGCACUGAGCACAGCUGCACCAGGAGAGCACGGCUUUUCCCACAGAGUGGGUUAGACCAGGAUCCGCGUGGCACUGCUGUCAAACUGAGAGUACGGUUUCCUGUGCUGUGGUCUUGCCUUUUGCCCUGGUAUUGCUAGAGGGGAUGAGCACAACGGAUGAGUUGUACCGGAAUGUGUGAAACUGCUUGAAAUACCCUGAAGACCUAUUGUGGAAAGCAUGUUUACAAGACCCAUUUAAAUAUCUAUACUCUCAUCAAGGCAAACGUUUAUAAUUACUACUUGCUUUGUGAAAUAGACUCUGUUAAAUAGAUGACCAUCUACAUAGUGUAAUAUUACAAAAGUUAGUCAUUGUAGAUAAAAGAUAGCAAAUUAAACUCUAGAAUUUAAAAAAUAAAAACAUUACAUAGCACAGGGUAGGAAAAGUUGUCAAGAAAAAUACAUGAGAAAUUGAAGUUUUCAUAAAUUAAUAU
Struthio camelus australis is the source of this 485-nucleotide long non-coding RNA. RefSeq lists it as uncharacterized. Lineage: Eukaryota; Metazoa; Chordata; Aves; Struthioniformes; Struthionidae. The record is from RefSeq and is a predicted model, not a curated record.